AGUAGAUAGAGUUUUCCUAUAUAAGAACUCACUUAACCUGAACCUGUACAUAACUUUUUGUAAACGAUUAUUGGAUGCUAGUGUCGUAUGGCGUAUGAUGAUUAUUAAUAACUCAUUCGC
RNAcentral lists this small nucleolar RNA (120 nucleotides) under Drosophila pseudoobscura pseudoobscura. RNAcentral describes it as "snoRNA:GA29948". The record is from RNAcentral. Lineage: Eukaryota; Metazoa; Arthropoda; Insecta; Diptera; Drosophilidae.